UAAUAGAUACCCGGGUAGUCCACGCCCUAAACUAUGUCAACUAGUUGUUGGGAGAGUUAAAUCUCUUAGUAACGCAGCUAACGCGUGAAGUUGACCGCCUGGGGAGUACGGCCGCAAGGUUAAAACUCAAAGGAAUUGACGGGGACCCGCACAAGCGGUGGAUUAUGUGGAUUAAUUCGAUGCAACGCGAAAAACCUUACCUACCCUUGACAUGUACGGAACGGGGCAGAGACGCCCCGGUGCCCGAAAGGGAAUCGUAACACAGGUGCUGCAUGGCUGUCGUCAGCUCGUGUCGUGAGAUGUUGGGUUAAGUCCCGCAACGAGCGCAACCCUUACCAUUAGUUGCUACAUUCAGUUGGGCACUCUAAUGGGACUGCCGGUGACAAACCGGAGGAAGGUGGGGAUGACGUCAAGUCCUCAUGGCCCUUAUGGGUAGGGCUUCACACGUAAUACAAUGGCCGGUACAGAGGGUUGCCAACCCGCGAGGGGGAGCCAAUCCCAGAAAGCCGGUCGUAGUCCGGAUUGUUCUCUGCAACUCGAGAGCAUGAAGUCGGAAUCGCU
This 561-nucleotide ribosomal RNA is filed under the name uncultured bacterium. Its description in RNAcentral is "bacterial SSU rRNA". It matches the Rfam family "Bacterial small subunit ribosomal RNA", at positions 776 to 1336 of the family's 1533-position model. The record is from RNAcentral.